CCUACGGGAGGCAGCAGUGGGGAAUAUUGCACAAUGGGCGAAAGCCUGAUGCAGCGACGCCGCGUGAGGGAUGACGGCCUUCGGGUUGUAAACCUCUUUCAGUAGGGACGAAGCGCAAGUGACGGUACCUACAGAAGAAGCACCGGCCAACUACGUGCCAGCAGCCGCGGUAAUA
Molecule: ribosomal RNA, 175 nt
Filed under: uncultured bacterium
Lineage: Bacteria
Description: partial 16S ribosomal RNA
Rfam family: Bacterial small subunit ribosomal RNA
Source: RNAcentral